CUUCAUCAGCAACGUCAAAAUUAUAAAUUACUGUUAACGAAAUAACCGGCUAUUCGUACAUACAUAAUCUGUUUUUUUUUUUUUUUUUACAAUGCCUAAAGACAAAAAGAAUAGAGAAAAAAAAGUCGCAGCAGUUUACGAAGAUCAUGAGUAUGACUAUGAUCCACUCAUAGAAUAUAGCGAACUCUAUUACUACCACUUUAUGAAUACCGCAUUUGUAGGUAUUACAUGUUCAACGUUUUAUAUAUUAAUCAUGUAUCGCGGGAGCGAACUAUUUAAAUUGUGUUUAUUGACUGCUUCAUGUUUAUGGUGGAUGUUUGUUGUGUAUAAUAUUAAAAAAGGGGAAAAAAAGGCAUGGCGAGUUGGAAUCUUUAAACACAUGACGUCGGAACAAAUUGUACUUUGUUUUUCAAUGUUUGAUUUGAUUUCUUACGUGUUGAUGGCUAUAGCACCUAUGAUAUAUUAGACAAGAUGUCCUAGUUGUGCAAAGAAAUAAUAAUCAAGGAGUACGAGUAACAGUGGAGACACCUCAAGUCGUAGUGUAAACGAUUAGCUUAUUUCCAAAACUUAAAUUCAAUUUUAAUGAUAUUUUUAAGGUUUAUUAGUAGGUACGUUCAAAUGUUAGUUUAUUACUCAGACCUGGGCUUUAUAUUUAAAUAAUUAAUUAUAAUCAAAAUCUAAAAUAGUUAUUAAAAAUAAAAAAUAAAAUAAUAAUUUCAAACACAAUUUUAAUUUUAACUCUAAAUCAUUUUCUAUUUAAAUAUAAAAACAACAAUUUUUUAAUUAGCCGGGUUUUUGAAAUAGCCAAGUUAAAACUCGUUUGAACAAAACAUUAGGUACUUGAAACAGUCAAUGAAAACCGAUUUUAAUUUAUCUAUAAUUAAUUUUAAAUAAUUAUUAUUUUUUCAUUAAAUGAAAAUGCCCAGUUUUGAUUAUACUAUAUAAUAUAAUUUGACUUAUGUAUUACUUAUUAACACUAUUUUAUACUUAGAUAAUGUUCCUUUUGUAUAGCUGGUUAAUGGCUUCUAUCUAUAAGCACCAUAAAAGAUUUUGAACUAGUAAUUUAGUGUCUUAAACUAAGAUUAUCAUUUAUUAGAAU
Long non-coding RNA from Adelges cooleyi (spruce gall adelgid), 1099 nucleotides. RefSeq lists it as uncharacterized. The record is from RefSeq and is a predicted model, not a curated record. The transcript is spliced from 3 exons. NCBI's taxonomy places the organism in Eukaryota, Metazoa, Arthropoda, Insecta, Hemiptera, Adelgidae.